UACAGAGGUCCCGAGCGUUGUUCGGAUUCACUGGGCGUAAAGGGUGCGUAGGUGGUCGGGUAAGUCCGAGGUGAAAUCUCCAAGCUUAACUUGGGAACUGCCUUGGAUACUAUUCGGCUGGAGGGUUGGAGGGGGACUGGGAAUGCUUGGUGUAGCAGUGAAAUGCGUAGAUAUCAAAGCGGGAACACCAGUGGCGAAGGCGAGUCCCUGGACAACUC
RNAcentral lists this ribosomal RNA (218 nucleotides) under uncultured bacterium. Its description in RNAcentral is "partial 16S ribosomal RNA". It matches the Rfam family "Bacterial small subunit ribosomal RNA", at positions 524 to 739 of the family's 1533-position model. The record is from RNAcentral.